Non-coding RNA from Drosophila melanogaster (fruit fly), 81 nucleotides. Its record names the gene mir-4. The record is from Ensembl. NCBI's taxonomy places the organism in Eukaryota, Metazoa, Arthropoda, Insecta, Diptera, Drosophilidae.
UUGCAAUUAGUUUCUUUGGUCGUCCAGCCUUAGGUGAUUUUUCCGGUCAUAAAGCUAGACAACCAUUGAAGUUCGUUGUGG